AGAGUUUGAUCAUGGCUCAGAUUGAACGCUGGCGGCAUGCCUUACACAUGCAAGUCGAACGGCAGCACGGGAGCAAUCCUGGUGGCGAGUGGCGAACGGGUGAGUAAUAUAUCGGAACGUGCCCAGUAGUGGGGGAUAGCCCGGCGAAAGCCGGAUUAAUACCGCAUACGACCUGUGGGUGAAAGCGGGGGAUCGCAAGACCUCGCGCUAUUGGAGCGGCCGAUAUCAGAUUAGCUAGUUGGUGGGGUAAAGGCCUACCAAGGCGACGAUCUGUAGCUGGUCUGAGAGGACGACCAGCCACACUGGGACUGAGACACGGCCCAGACUCCUACGGGAGGCAGCAGUGGGGAAUUUUGGACAAUGGGCGCAAGCCUGAUCCAGCCAUGCCGCGUGUGGGAAGAAGGCCUUCGGGUUGUAAACCACUUUUGUCAGGGAAGAAACGGCCUUUUCUAAUACAAGGGGCUAAUGACGGUACCUGAAGAAUAAGCACCGGCUAACUACGUG
RNAcentral lists this ribosomal RNA (504 nucleotides) under uncultured bacterium. RNAcentral's name for it is "bacterial SSU rRNA". It matches the Rfam family "Bacterial small subunit ribosomal RNA", at positions 8 to 507 of the family's 1533-position model. The record is from RNAcentral.